CGUAUUUUUUUCAUUUUUUUAUUAUGUAUUUACUUAUAAAUAUUAAUUUUGUAUAUUAUAUAUUUACUUAAUAUCUAUAUUUUACAUUUUAAGAUAAAUGUUUAAGGCUUAAUGUACUUUUUCUAUUUUUUUAAUUGUGCAUUUCCAUUUUAAGAUAAAUGUUUAAUGUUUAGUGUACUUUUUAUAAUUUUAUAUUAUUUAUUUACUUAUUAAUAUUAUUAUAUUAUAUAUUUUUUAA
RNAcentral lists this long non-coding RNA (238 nucleotides) under Brassica napus (rape). Its description in RNAcentral is "long non-coding RNA (BNAP_LNC023052)". The record is from RNAcentral. Lineage: Eukaryota; Viridiplantae; Streptophyta; Magnoliopsida; Brassicales; Brassicaceae.